RNAcentral lists this long non-coding RNA (5215 nucleotides) under Marmota monax (woodchuck). Lineage: Eukaryota; Metazoa; Chordata; Mammalia; Rodentia; Sciuridae. The record is from RNAcentral.
GGAAGGCUUGCUGGAGAAGGAGGUCUCCUUCCCAGGGGCAGAGGGAGCAGGCCCUGAGGACAGCUCUGGAGCCUGCCAUCACUAAGGAGACAGUGCAGGGGGACCCAACAUCAGCUGACCCCUCCCCUCCUGAGCAGGCCCAAAGGACGAGAGCACAGAGCCUGAGAGCUUUGUGGAAUCAUCACCCCAGGGGCCCUGGAGUCUUCUGUCUCAUUAUCCAGCCAGAGCAGCAUCCUCUUCCCUGGGAGGUGUCCUUGACCCCAGAUAAAGGGACCCCCAGCACUACAUAGGCAGGCGCUGCCGCCCGCCUGCCCUGUAAGCAUGUCUGUCCCCUUUCAUGUCCAUCUCUGUCCCCAAGGUCAGCACAUAGUAAGCACUCAAAUACUGCUUUAGUGGGUAUAUCUAUUUCUGACUUGUCAAUGAGGGGUCUUCGGCUCAGACAUUCAGGAACUUGUCUGAAAGUACAGGGUUUCUUGCUGGCACAGUGGCAGUUGCCUGUGAUCUCAGCGACGCAGGCGUAUGGAGUAUCACAAGUUUGAGACCAGCCUCAAAAGGCUGGGGGCACUAAAGGAGUAGUUCAGUGCUAAAGCACCCCUGGGUUUAAUCCUUAGUAUGGAGAGAAAAAGAGCCCAGGUUUCUGGCUUGGCAUAGCCAGGGCUUGCCUCAGAGUCUUGCUCCAGGACUGACAGGAAAGCCUGUCCUCCCCCUGAGCUCUUUGUGUCCAGCCCUGGUGCUGUGGAUGGAGGUGGGCAGGCCAGGGCUGGGGCCUGGAUGCCGUGCCUGGCACUGGGUGGCUACAUGUACAGGUCUGAUCCUGCCAGCUCCCUGGGCCUGUCUACAGAGCAGGAACAGCUAUGAAUCAUUGCUCCCUAGGAGCCCAGCUCCCACUCAGGCCAGUUGCAGCCAAGGCCCUAGGACAGUCCUGCAGCUUGGGAUGGGCCCAGAGUUUGAACCACACCCUUGGGCAAGCUGGACCUGAUCUCCCAGGGCAGUGGGUGGAUGGCAGCAAGGCCUGCCCUGCUUCCUCCCUCCCACACUACUGCUCUGAGCCUUGGGAAAUAUGGAUAUGAAACCUCUUUGGAAACCUCAUGCCAAUGUGAGACUGACUGGGGCAAGUGCCAAGGCUGCUAUGUGUGGAGGGGUUUCCAGGCAAGGCAGAGUGGGCAGGGGCUUGGGAAUGCCAGCCUCCCUUCUGGAGCCUCUUCCUCCUCCUCCCUGUGGCCAGGGACUUUCAGCUUCUUCACGUUUACUCAUUCAGUGUCCUACAUUGGCCACAAAGUCUUGCAGCCGGCUCGGGAGGCCCAGAGCCCAGGAGGCCCAGAGCCCAGGUCUCAAGGAACUGCGUCCAGGGAGAUGGCCACAUCAGCCACCAGACACUAGUGGAGCUCUAAGCAGCACCCUAGUGUGAUAUGGUCCUAGGAUAGACCCUGCCCUUCUUCACCCAGAGGACUCAGCCGCUGGCCAGGCCCAGGGUCUUUCAGUGGCUGCUCUGGGCCAAACUGCAUCCCCUUAAGUCCCAGUGCCUCAGAGCAUGACCAUCUGGAGAUCAUUAGUGGGCCCUGCCCAAUCUGGUGUCCUCAUAAGAAGGGAAAAUUUCAACACACACAGAGACAUCAGGACAGGUGUACCCAGAAGAAGAUCCUUCUAAGAGGCAACAAGAGAAUGGCCAUCUGCAAGCCUUAGGACACCAGCCCUGCCAGCUCCUCGGUCUCGGACCUCCAGCCUCUGUGAACCAUGAGGCAUAAAACUCCGGCCUUUGAGCCACUGAGGCUGAAGGUGUGCUGUGGAACCCAGUUGGCGAUGGCAGAGGCCUUUCAGCCUGGGCACCAUCAUCCAGAGACUGGGUGGAGCGGGGCCUCCAGAGCAGCACCCUGCUUCUGCUCAGGAGGAGAGGGUGAGCUAAUGAAGGAUGUAUUUUCAGGGGAGGCACUUCCCGUAGUUGAGAUGGUUGGUGUUGGACAGGGUCAGGUCCUCUGUGGGGCCUGGUGUUGGACAGGGUCAGAUGCUGUGAGCCAUGACUGAACACAGCACCAGAAUGGAGGGAAGGAGGCUGCUUUGCCCAGAGCAGCUGCCAGACCUCCACUGUGUUGGGUCCCCUGGGGCCAACAGGAACCAGGUGUGAAGGCAACCGGCAGAGCAACAGCCAGCCAGUGGACAGUGUCAUGCCUGGAAGGCCUGCCUCUGCGUUAGGCUGCACCCAGCUCCCCCGAAGCCUCCAGCCACCUGGCUCACCGCUUCCCUGGAGGGCGUCUGUCUCCCAUGCUGGGCUCUGGCCAUGAUGCCCUUCCCACACGUCUGCCUGGGAGACCCUGCUCACUUCCUUAGCCACAUCUCCCCUUCAGCUUCAGAGGCCCCUGGCAGUGGGCUCCAGGGUGCUUCUGCCCGGCUGCCGCAGGGCGUCACCUUUGCCUGUGUCCCUGCAGCACAACCAGUGUCCCAGCCUGCUGCUGCCCUGGUGUGGGUGCAGCUGGAGCCUAGGCCUACAUGGGUGAGAGGCACCCUGAGCUGCAGCUAGACCAGUGGCCUGGCUUUAGCCCAGCAGCCCACAGCCCUGAUGAGUCAGACCCUGCCCAGCCUCCAUCACUUGAGCAGUCUAGAGACUGGGGACACUGGGGUGUCCAGCCUUGGCCAGCGCCCUCUGUCCCUAGUGUCCAGGGUCUCUCAUGUGGGCCUCCUGGACCCUGAGGUCCUCUCUAGGGAUAUACAUCACCACUUCAGAUUCACUAGUGUCCCACCCUUUGGGUCAUCCACACUAGAGGCUCCCUGGCCAACAGCAGCAGCAGCCAGCACUGUCCCUUCAGUGGCCUCUGACCUCCUUCUCCCCUCUCAUCCUGGUGCCCUGCCCUUGUGUCCUAGAACGAUACUGCUUGCUGAGCUCCCAGGCCUCCUUCAGCAGGACCAUUGGACAUCAGAAACUGGAAGACUUCUGUGGGGGCCUGACUCACCUCUGCCCAAGGCUGCCAGCCAUGCUGCCCUCUGCCUCUGCCUCCAGAAGGAGUCUUCAAGCACCUUCCGUCAAAGCCCACUGCCUGCAAGGAAUGUCCUGGGCCCUGAGAGGCCCGCACAUUUGGAGAGUGAGUUGAUGGUUACAGAAUGCACGUCCCUAUGCUGUUAGGUGAAGGGAGGAGAGUAAUUCGCUGGAAAUGGGUAGCUUUUUUCCUUUUUACAGACCGAAAAACUGAGAUCUUCAAAACUGAAUUGACCUGCCCAAGUUAUACAAAAAGGGAAUUAGAUGGGUGAGCACUGCAGGCUCUCUACCCCAGGUGGCAGGGGUCACACUGCCACAGGACUAUCUGACAUGAGAGGGCAGAAGGUGACAGCCGUCCAUCAGUGCCCUAGGCAGGCCUUGCUGCCUGGGGACUCUGUGGGACAUCCCUUCAGCCCUCAAUGGUGUGCAGGACAGUUCCACCUGAGCUGCUUUCACAGAAAUAGUUCUGCCCACCCUGACUUAUCCUGUGCAUCUGGGAAAGCCUGGGUCCAGGGUGGAGCGCAGGUGUUCCUCCUGGGGCAGUUGCCUGAGGGCAGAUCUGAGCUGGAAGGGCCAGUGAGGUAGGGCCAGGAAUCGGGCUUCUCAUGCACCUGGGGAGCUGGGGUAAUGCCAUACCCAGGGCUCCAAAGGCCAGCAGUGGCUCAGGUUUGUGAGAUCCCCAGAUCUGCUUCUGUGACCUCUGCAGUUGAGCACAGUCAGGAUGCCUGCUACUCUGCUAAGUAUUAGCUCAUGUAAUCCUCAGGUUUUACUAACUUCCAGGUAAAGAAAUAGUCCCUAAAGGUUAGGUGACUGGGCCAGGCAUAGGACUGGGAAGGAACAGAACUGUCAGGUUCAAAGCCUGCCUGCUUCACCACCUGCCAGCAUGUUGGCUCCCUGGGAAGCAUCCUAGGAUUGGACCAAUCUACUGUCCUCAGAGAAGGAUGUCUGCCCUGCACCAGCCCCUCACUAGGAAAGAGGCGUGUUCCUACUUGGUGAACUCAGGGCCCCUCAGGGCAGGAGGGAAGUACCUCCUUCCUGUCCUUGCAGCUAGAAGAAAGAUGGACAGCUUCAUGGGUCCAUGGUACACAGCAUUGUUAGAAGAGAAGAAAGACCAAAAGUACUGGCAGACACCUUGUGUAGAAAUGAGAAAACCUGCUUCAAACAAACUCGGGAACGUGGAGAUGAAUCCCUCUAAAGGAAGGACAGUCUUAGAGCAUACAAAACAACCUGUGUGCAGUCAACAAACUGCAAAUGGUAAGUAUUGGAUCCAAAAAUAAAAGCAAAAACUAACAACAAAUUAAAUAAUAAAACAACAAAAAAGCAAAAAAAAAAAUAUAUAUAUAUAUAUAAAUAUCAGGAAAAAAAGCAAAAAGCACCUCAAAAAUGGAUCCCAGGGUGAUCUUAGAGAUGUAUUGAAAUGGGCUCCCAAGAAGACCAAAGAAGACAAAAUGCCCUGGCCCCAAGAAAAACACACUCAAAGUGAUCCUGCAGUGAUGGUGGCAGAGAAGGAUGGUGCAAGGCUCCGAGAACCCCAGGGCCAACGGUGCCCCACCCCCACCUCACAGUUUGCCAGGAAGUGGGAGGGGAGCCUGAGGAGCCCAGAUGAGGGAGCAGGGAGCUCCCCUCCUCAGACAGGGAGCCUCCCGAGAACAGUGCUGACCCUGGAAACCAGGGGACCUUGCUCUGCACACCACCUUCUGCAGCCUAAGAUGCAGCUCAGGGCACCAGACUCCUUACCUCUUCCCUGAUCUCCCUCGAUGCUUCCUUCCCCGUUGUCACUGGGCCUAGAAAACCCUCCUGGUGUCCCCUUCCUGCCUCUGUGCCUAUCUGUCCACCCGUUGGCCUUUCCCAGUGGGCGGUCUUAGUCUAGCAGGGGGAGAGUGAGUGGUGAGCUGUCUGCACUCUGUACUGCAACCCUUCCCAGCUCCUGUGGGUCAACCUUGGGGUUGGCCUCCCCAGCUCUGGUCCUCUGGCCCCUGCCCCACCCUUGGGUGCCAAGUCCCUGCUCUUCUGGGAGUCUGACCUUGUCCUUCCAAGUGCUACAUGCCAUGUGCUGGGGAAGCAUGGGGACAGGUCGGCCUGCAUGCAGCCGGUGGGCCUGUGACAAGGUACGGAAGGGUGGAAGGUGAUGGUUGCAAACCAGAAGGCCCAAGGGGCCAGGGGCCUAGUCUUUCUCAUUUUUGGGUCCCUGGUGCCAACUCAGAGCCUGGAGAAUGGUAGAUACACAAUAAAAGAUUGUUGAAUGAA